AACCCGGUAGCUCAAUGGUUAGAGCACCUGCCUUAUAUGCAGCCGGUUAUUGGUUCGAAUCCAAUCCGGGUUACAA
RNAcentral lists this transfer RNA (76 nucleotides) under Chitinophaga arvensicola. Its description in RNAcentral is "tRNA_Ile_TAT". It matches the Rfam family "tRNA". Rfam says of the family: Transfer RNA (tRNA) molecules are approximately 80 nucleotides in length. Their secondary structure includes four short double-helical elements and three loops (D, anti-codon, and T loops). Lineage: Bacteria; Pseudomonadati; Bacteroidota; Chitinophagia; Chitinophagales; Chitinophagaceae. The record is from RNAcentral.